CCGCCGACUGCGUACCGUGCGAAUUCACGAGACAUCUCGAGUACGUGUGGACUGUGUGAAGACGUGGACGAUAACGAGGAGUGCUGUGCAAAGUAUCGCGAUCGUAGUACGCUGGUAAUUAAUUCGAACGCGAUCGUAUAAUUUAACUGUGUGCUCGCGAGUGAGUAUUUCGUAAGUGAAAAUCUGAAGAGGCACUCGACAAUUAGAGGAUGGGAUUCAAAGGAUUCUGAGAGGAGGAGGAGGCCCGGGAAGGCAUCGGGCAACGGCGGAGCACCUGUGGGAUCAGCGUAGCUACGAUGCAGUUAUAACUCCGCUGUUGCGCAUCGUGCCUG
This is a long non-coding RNA of Temnothorax curvispinosus, 332 nucleotides long. RefSeq lists it as uncharacterized. NCBI's taxonomy places the organism in Eukaryota, Metazoa, Arthropoda, Insecta, Hymenoptera, Formicidae. The transcript is spliced from 3 exons. The record is from RefSeq and is a predicted model, not a curated record.